CCGAGUUUACAACUCCCAAACCCCUGUGAACAUACCUAUACGUUGCCUCGGCGGAUCAGCCCCGCGCCCCGUAAAAAGGGACGGCCCGCCCGAGGACCCCUAAACUCUGUUUUUAGUGGAACUUCUGAGUAAAACAAACAAAUAAAUCA
RNAcentral lists this unclassified non-coding RNA (149 nucleotides) under soil metagenome. Its description in RNAcentral is "partial internal transcribed spacer 1". The record is from RNAcentral.